Molecule: unclassified non-coding RNA, 5885 nt
Filed under: Leishmania donovani
Lineage: Eukaryota; Euglenozoa; Kinetoplastea; Trypanosomatida; Trypanosomatidae
Description: gene:LdHU3.06.0880(CDS-product:YEATS_family_putat ive)
Source: RNAcentral
CAUUCCCGCGCGUGCCGUUGCCACCCCUCCAUCGUGACCACCUCUCCCUCAGCGCAGCGUCAAGAGCGAGUCAGCGGAGGGGACGCGGAAACGGAGCCCAAGGCGGGGACGAGCAGAGAAGUGGAGGCUGGACCCCCUGACACGGGAUCACUGGCGCGCGGCCGGAACACACGCACGCACCCCUCGGCGUCCUUCUCUCGCUCUGCCCGCGUGCGGGUGCGUUUUUCCGUUACCCGCCAAGCGCACGGCGACCGAGGGCUGAGCUCAGCCGCCGCCGCUCCUCCAGCUGCUCCACCUCUUCGUGAGCACGACAGCGGCCUGCCUUCAGGUGAGCUCUGUCCUGCUGCUCAUCAGCGCGCACACGCGUAGAGGCACGCGAGCAGUUCCAGUAGGAGACCACCACCAGCCAUGUACCACCCUCUCCCGCACGGGGGUGGCGGCAGCUCGAAGAGUGUUGAGCUGCACGUGGACGGCCGCGUCUCGCAGGUCUCCCUGCAGGCGGCGGCACACGCGACCGUGGCGGACCUUCUCUCGACUGCCGUCGCAGCCUCAUUGUCAACCAUGUCAACAAAGACGCUUUCACCGCGGGAGUUGGCGAAGGGGUUUGCCUGCACCGACACGGCGGGCAACAGGGUCGACCUGAGCGCUCUGGCGGUCUCCGUCCCGCCACAGCUGGUGGUGACGCACACCGCGACUGCCGGCAGCGGUGGUGGCGGUAGCGCGGGCCGUGGCGGCGGUUCUGGCCGCUCGGUGUUGUCAGCGUCGGCACCUGGCCGUGGGCGCGGCCGGGGCAGGGGGCGCGGGCGUGGGCGAUGCGGCGGGCGGGGACGUGGCGGCGCGGCCGCUGCUGCGAAGGCUCAGAUAGCGGUCGAUGACGAGGAGGAUGGCGAAAAUGGUGUUGACGCCGAGGACGGAGAUGACGGCGAAGAGGCGGAGUCCGGCGGUGCUUUCAGAGGCAUCGCCAGCGACGGUGCCACGGCAGAGGAAGACGAGAGCGCCAGCGAUGAGCCCGACGGUACGUCGGAGGGCUACAGCUCCGACGACGAGGACAGCUCCGAAGAUGAGGACAGCGACAACGCCGACUCCUCACUGGCCACAGCGAGCACAAGCACCACCACGACGCGCUCACGGGGCGACCGCGGCGGAGCGACCUCAAGUGGCGGCCGUGGGCGUGGACGUGGUCGCAGCGGCAGUGGGCGAGUCGCGGGUCGGACGUCAGCCGCGUCUUCGCGAGGCUCCUCGGCGCCCCCGACGCCGACAGCGGCGAGCGCCACGGCUGCGCGGCGCACUCGCAGGCGCAGUGUCUCGGGAUCGCCGCUGCUCUUCACCCCUGACGGGUUACCCAUCAAGCGCAAGCGCGGGCGACCACCAAAGAGUCAGCAGCUGGCGUUUGCGACCGCCACUGCUGCUGCUGCUGACGCUGCGGCCGCAUCGAGCGGCACCAUGAGCACUGCCGCUGGUGAGAAGCCGCCGCGACGGACGCGGCGGAGCGUCAAGGAGGCGCUAGCUGAGGCGGCAACGGAGGAGGUGAAGCCACGCCGGGGUGGGCGACGCCGUCGCGCUGACGCGGAGUCAGAGGAGCUGAAGGGGCAACAACGCGCAAGCGCCAGUUACAAACUCAAGGGCCGCAGCUCUGCCGUCACCGUCGCGUCAGUUGACGACGUUACCGGCACUCUUAGCGGCAGCGACCGACGAGGUGGAUGGCGGAGGGGUAGCGGUGACGCGGUCACUAAGCGCAGUCGGUCGCCGUCACCCCCCUCACAGUCGUCUGGAAACAGCAGCACCACCACCACCGCGGCGGCGGCGACCCCGCUAUUUACUGUGCCCGCUGUGAUCGUGACCGCUGUCGAUGGCACGGGCGGCGGAUGCGCCACUCCGCUUUCCCCAGGCGCCCUCACCGCAUUGGCGAGCGGUGCGGCCACGAAUGCGGCCAGUGCGACGUCUGCUCCUGGCGCUCGUACCAUUGCCGCCCUCGAGCAGCAGCAGCAGGAGCAGCCGCUACGCCAGCAGCGCCGCCGUGUGCGCCUUACGUAUAACGCUUUCUACCCAUCAUCCGCUUUACACGCUGCGGUGCCAGCCACCAUGGGCACCUACGGCGGUAGCGGAGCGGGCGGGGGCACCGCGGGGGCACGCGCGCAUCAGGCGCACAGCACCGCCGCUGCAGCACCGUUGGAGGACCCUUCGGCGAGGCCGAUGAGGCCGCGCUACGUUUGGAACGGCGGAGACCGCUACCAGCAGCACAGCUUGCCCUCCGCGGCGUCAUCGUCGCCUGCCAACGACGUGCAGCUUGGUGGUCGUGGCGUGCGGACGAUUUUCAGCGAGGCGUGGGCCACGCUGUCUUCUUGCCUCAGCAGCACUACAGAGCGCCAAGGCGCUUCAUCCACUGCGAGCGUGUCCCCCACGAUGGUGGACCCCUCACACACGACGAGUGCAAGCCAGCUUUACAUGCAGGCGCAGCGGAUCGUGUCCUCGUGGCGUGCCGAGCAGCACCGCACGCCGUCAAUGUUGCUUAGCCACCCCUACAGCCCGCUGUUGAUGCCUGGACUGCGCGUGUAUCAGCACCCGCUGCCGCUGCUGGCGUCGACACCCGCUUCUCUCGCAGCGCCGGCGGACGCCAACGCGGCGACGCCCAGCACUGAUCGGCUCAGUGCCGUAAAGGCGGAAGCGGACGACGAGGAAAGCGGCGCGGGGUCGCGCCAUCGCCGCCAUCAUCGAUGUGGCGCUGCACCACACACGACAUCGGUGGCGGCCGCUGGGCCCGGUGCGGAGUGCGGCAGCAGCCGCGUGUACUGCUAUCCGAACCAGACGCUGAUUGUUCCCGUGGUCGUCGGCGGCUGCGUGCAGCUCGUCAACCCGGAGAGCAAGGACAAGAGCCACCAGUGGACGGUGUACGUGCGCGGCUUGUGGAACGGCCAUCCGGAGGAGGUCGCCGGCGCGAAUGUGCGGCCGCCGUCGUCAUCGCACGUGCAGCAGCUCAGGGCAUUCCCCUCGUCGCCGUCCUCGACACCACCUGCUCGGUCGAACAACUCGCGCGCCAGCCUCGGCGACAGCAGCGCGGCUGCUGACCGUGGUGGUGGCGGGGGCGCUGCUGCUGCUGCUGCCGCCCUCGGCGCGAUGGGCGAUUCGCAGGCCUCCGUCUUUAGCGCCUCGACCGCAUCGCCGGAUGACUACCUGUCGGACUUCAUUGACAAGGUGGUGUUCGUACUGGACGAGAGCUUCGUGCCGUGUGUGCGCACCGUCUCCUCGGCUCCAUUUGAGCUGACGGAGGUGGGGUGGGGCGAGUUCAUUGUGUCUAUGCACGUGUACCUGAAGGUGCCGGUGCACACCAGCGCCUCCCGGCGGGCACAGGGGCAGCUCCUCGAGUACUACUGCGGCUUCAACGGCCGCACUGCAAUGCAGACGUGCGACGGUCGUGGCACGAAGCCGCACGACCCCGUCUCGACGUACGUCACUGGCGGCGUGCGUGGCCCGAGACACUUGUGGAAUGCACUGACGACGCCGCCGCCGAGCACGUCGGGCACUGUACCGCCCACCCCGGCGCUGUCGCUGCAUGAGCUGCGCCACGAGUGUCACUACGACAGCUUGCUCGACAUCAACUCGAACAGCGGGGCGCGUGCGACCUACUACCGUGGCCCAUACCUGCCGGUGCACUUGGUGACAUGCGAUGCGACGUCUUCCUCAGCCUCCUCGCAGCCGUCAUCAUCAUCGAGUGACAGCGACGCGGAUGGUGGCGGUGGUAGCGACGGCGCACGCGGCCGCAGCGGCAGCGAGGUGUCCAUCUGUGGUGGUAGUCCCACGGACAGCGCCCACGCACUCUCGUUCCCGACCAAGUCCGAGAUGAGCGGUGACGGGUCGUUUUCCUCUUCCCGCAGCGGAAGCGUCACUCCCAGUCCGGCGCCAGCGCCUCAGCAUCACGCAAGCCUGUCCUCGCAGCAGCACGAGGCGAGGAUGGGUGGGUCGAACACCGCACACACCAGCAGCGGUUGCAUCGCUGAUGGGCAGCCGCUCGCGGGCAUCGCCGCUGGCGUGGCGGACGCGUCUUCGCCGCACGCGCGACCGCCACCGCUGCCGGUGCCGACUGUCGGUCGCGGCACCGGCCGGCGCCCCCGCGGCUUUGGUGCUUCGCGAGCGCGCAGCGGUACGCCCCGCAGCCCUGCCAACGCAGGCGCUCCCGGCGCUGCAGGUGGCGGCGGCGUGCACCGCACCUUCACAGAGGUGCACGUCGGCCACGGCGGCAACGUGGUGGUGCUGCAGCACCUGCUGCGAUUUAGUCACCGUCCUCGCUACGCAGCCGCUAUUCCGCCAGCUCGAGACCCGCGCACGCAGGGAGUGCACCCAGAGCUGCUGGGCUACACGAUGGUGGCGGAGCCCGUCGUCACGGAGCAGUAUGACGAGCUCGUCAUCCCGCUGGAGCCUUUCGCUGCCGUGGCAGGGCGGGGACGCAGUCAGGCCAGCCGCCGGCGGCAGACGACGCAGCGAAAGGGUGGCGAAGCAUCACCGAAGAAGCCUGACACCGCGAGUGCCGAGGCGAAGCUGCACCACCUGAUGGCAGCGUCGAGCAGUCUCGAGGGCCACCUGCGCGCCACGUUGCGGCGUCAGCUCUUCUUGAUGUGCGAUGACUCGCCAUCGCAGUCGUUCCACGCGCUGCCGCCGCUGUCCAACAGCGAGGCGCAGGCGCUCGGCCACCCGGGCGGCAUCUCUUGCUGGCCGCACGUCCUCGACUACGGCAACGGCAUCGAGCGUGACACAUCCUACACCGCUGCCUACCUCGCGAGCAUCGCGACGAGCGCAGAGAUGGAGGGCUGGUUGUCGCAAGCACUCGGGGCACGGCGGGCGGCGCUGUUUGGCUCGCCGGCGGCGCCUUGUGCCUGGGUCACCACUGCCGACGACGCUGAAGAGCCGCAGCCGCAGCCGCAGCGUGACGGCGAGGCAGCGGGAGGGUGUAAGACGGAGGGGGAGGGCUGCGAUGGAGUGGCGAACCGACUGCCCGGCCGAGUGGCCAUUCCAUCCCUCAUCCCAAAUCCGACCACCACCGGGACGUGGCUGACUGCGCUGGAGUACGACAUGGCGAGUGCACUCUUGCGCCUCGCCGCCGGUGCCUCCGUGGUGACGGCACACGACGUCUUCUUCCACGUCGUUUUGCCGCGCGCCGACGACAUUGGUGCAGCCGUCUGGUGCAACCUCCACGAAGGAACCCACGCAGCACUGACUCGGGCGAGCGCGGUCGGAGCCUUCCCUUCGGAUGCCACUGGCGCCGCCGCGCUCAAGGCGGAGCCAGCGUUUGGGUGCACCUCAGAAGUGCAGCAGGAGGCCAAGAAAGGCGCAGACGUGAGAAUGGAGCAGGCGUACGCCGACGAGGAGCGUGAUGGUAACGAGAUGCUGUCUGUGUCCUCAGCGACGGCGCUUUCUCGCGGAUAUCCCCUCUGCUCCCUGCGCCCCAGUGACACCGGCAUUGCCGCACUGCGCAACGUGCUCUGCGCGAACAAAGGCAGCGGCUCCGCCAGCGCCACUCACCACCCAAGCCAGGAAGCGCUCAUGGCGUCGCUGCUCCGUGACGGCCAAAGCCGCGGCAGCUUCGGCCACGACAGCGAUGUGGCGCAGCUGAUGACAUGGAAAGCGGCGCUGGAGGACGCCAUCGACACCAUGCGCGUCGAAGCGGCGCGCCGGCAGGCCACCGCAGUCAUGGAGGAUCUGUAAGCUGACGUGGGCGUGGUGGCAGCGAUGCAGGUGAGGGGGGGGGCGAGAUCAGCGCGGCAACGCCGCUUGGCCUUGUCUGCGCAGGGCACACGCGUGCCAUGCGGCAAGGGAAGGUGGACAGCCCAGCCGACGAGGUUUCCUCAACGUAGAAGAGACUAAGAAAGACAACAGGAACAACACCAACGUCG